UACGUAGGGGGCAAGCGUUGUCCGGAUUUAUUGGGCGUAAAGAGCGUGUCGGCGGCUUUACAGGUCCGCUGUGAAAACUCGAGGCUCAACCUCGAGCUGUCGGUGGAAACCGUAAGGCUAGAGUCCGGAAGAGGAGAGUGGAAUUCCCGGUGUAGCGGUGAAAUGCGCAGAUAUCGGGAAGAACACCCGUGGCGAAGGCGGCUCUCUGGGACGGUACUGACGCUGAGACGCGAAAGCGUGGGGAGCGAACAGG
Molecule: ribosomal RNA, 253 nt
Filed under: uncultured bacterium
Lineage: Bacteria
Description: partial 16S ribosomal RNA
Rfam family: Bacterial small subunit ribosomal RNA
Source: RNAcentral